UAGUAACGGCGAGCGAAACGGGAAAAGCCCAGCACUGAAUCGCGCGCCCACUGGGACGCUGCGAAAUGUAGUGUUUGGGAGGGUCCAUCAGUCCGUGGUUUGGUGAUGAGUUCAAGUCCUUCUUGAACGGGGCCAUUUACCCACAGAGGGUGCCAGGCCCGUAGUGACUAUCGCCGGCUGCGGACGGAUCUCUCCUUAGAGUCGCGUUGCUUGAGAGUGCAGCGCUAAGUGGGUGGUAAACUCCAUCUAAGGCUAAAUAUAACCACGAGACCGAUAGCGAACAAGUACCGUGAGGGAAAGUUGAAAAGAACUUUGAAGAGAGAGUUCAAUAGUACGUGAAACCGUUUAAGGGUAAACCUGAGAAACCCGAAAGUUCGAACGAGGAGAUUCAGUGUGUUUCGGUGUGCGCGAGUGCCGCCUGGUCGACGGCUGUCGCUUGCGGCAGUUGCUCCUUGCGUUGCGCCGUUGCAUGUCGAACGCGUGCAUUUCUCCUCCAGUAGGACGUCGCGACCCGUUGGGUGUCGGUCUUAGGCUUGCAGGGCAGCCCGUGCGUCGGUUUCGGCCGUGCGUGCGGAUCUGUGAUGUCCCGGCCGACUGCUCGACGGUAUGCAAUGAAGGCGCAGAGCCGCGACAAGUUCGCGUUCGGCUCGUUGCAAGCGCAACCGGUUACUCAAUCAUCGGACUCUGUGCCGAUCUUGGGGCCGGCUGACUGUUGGCAACGAUGUUCCCGAACAGACUCUGUACACGCCUGUCAGCGGCGCUAUAGCUUUGGGUAAUUUCAGGGCCCGUCUUGAAACACGGACCAAGGAGUCUAGCAUGUGCGCGAGUCAUUGGGACUAUCGAAUCCUAAAGGCGCAAUGAAAGUAAAUCCAAGCUUGCUUGGAUAAGGGAAGAUGGGCAAUUAAGUUUGCUUCGCACUCCCGGGGCGUCUCGUGCUCAUUGCGAGCUGAGGCGCACCUAGAGCGUACAUGCUG
This 974-nucleotide ribosomal RNA is filed under the name Doryloxenus sp. JP-2017. Its description in RNAcentral is "eukaryotic LSU rRNA". It matches the Rfam family "Eukaryotic large subunit ribosomal RNA", at positions 81 to 811 of the family's 3401-position model. The record is from RNAcentral. Lineage: Eukaryota; Metazoa; Arthropoda; Insecta; Coleoptera; Staphylinidae.